GAUGAACGCUGGCGGCGUGCCUAACACAUGCAAGUCGAGCGAUUUACUUCGGUAAAGAGCGGCGGACGGGUGAGUAACGCGUGGGUAACCUGCCCUGUACACACGGAUAACAUACCGAAAGGUAUGCUAAUACGGGAUAAUAUGCUUUUAUCGCAUGGUAGAAGCAUCAAGGCUUUUGCGGUACAGGAUGGACCCGCGUCUGAUGAGCUAGUUGGUAAGGUAACGGCUUACCAAGGCGACGAUCAGUAGCCGACCUGAGUGGAUGAUCGGCCACAGUGGAACUGAGAGACGGUCCAAACGCCUACGGGAGGCAGCAGGGGGGAAUAUUGCACAAUGGGCGAAAGCCUGAUGCAGCAACGCGGCGUGAGCGAUGAAGUCCUUCGGGUGGUAAAGCUCUGUCCUCAAGGAAGAAAAUGACUGUACCGGGAGAAUAAGCCCCGGCUAACUCCGUGCCAGCAGCCGCCGUAA
This 468-nucleotide ribosomal RNA is filed under the name uncultured bacterium. RNAcentral describes it as "partial 16S ribosomal RNA". It matches the Rfam family "Bacterial small subunit ribosomal RNA", at positions 28 to 523 of the family's 1533-position model. The record is from RNAcentral.